Schistocerca gregaria is the source of this 766-nucleotide long non-coding RNA. RefSeq lists it as uncharacterized. The record is from RefSeq and is a predicted model, not a curated record. NCBI's taxonomy places the organism in Eukaryota, Metazoa, Arthropoda, Insecta, Orthoptera, Acrididae. The transcript has 3 exons.
CCAUAUACACGCUCCAACAGUGGCCAACAUUAUUGUUUUACGCAGAGUACCUGCAACUUAUGUCGGUCCAAUCUGCUACCUACAGCGAGUAUGCAGAAUCGCACUGUCAAAGCCGUUGCUAAAACGAUAGUACGUUGUAGGUCGUAUUUCCAGCAGAGGGCACCAGAGGGGACGUAAGCACUGGUAGGGGAUCUCCCGCGACAGACAGCGCUUCCAACGAAGAGCUCUGCAGACCACAGACAGCACAACCAGGAACCAUGAAGUGCCACAUUGCCGCUGUACUCGCGCUGCUGUCAUUGCUGGCGAGCUGUGAGGCGCAGUGCCCAGUCGUCUGCACCCGGGAAUUCAGGCCGCUUACAGCACGCUGCAAGGGAGGCGUCACGAAGAAAUUCAACAACCCCUGUCUCAUGGAAGUGCACAACUGUCAGCAGAAAGACGGCUGUGUGGUGAUAUGAUGCGGUCAGCAGAGGUGAUUGUGGAUCCCUUGGAAAGAAGACUUCACUCUGCAUGCUGUUAUAAUUUGUUUUACGUUGACAGCUUUGUGUCUGAGAUAAAAUUAUUCAACGAAUUAGAUAUUUCUGUGUCUUAAUGUAUUACUGAUUUAUCCAAAAUUUGAUUAAAUUUUUCCAACACUACCCAAUGGAUACAGAAUUUUUUUAUUGUUCAAUUAUUUCUCUUUUAGUAGUCCACUACGCUACGUGUUUCACGCAUAGACGAUCGUAUGUAUUCUUGUAUCAAUGAUAAUGUUUUGGACGAAAUAAUUAAC